UGAAUACGAGAUGCUACGGCGUCGAAGCAGUCUAUGUCAUACUUCCAAGAAAAGCUCGCACUGUCAUAAACAAAUAAUGCCUGUACCAUAACCGACACAGGUGGGUAGGUAGAGUAUACUAAGGGGCGCGAGAUAACUCUCUCUAAGGAACUCGGCAAAAUGACUCCGUAACUUCGGGAGAAGGAGUGCCUUAUUUAUAAGGUUGCAAUAACAAGAUCCAAGCAACUGUUUAUCAAAAACACAGGUCUCCGCUAAGUCGUAAGACGAUGUAUGGGGGCUGACGCCUGCCCAGUGCCAGAAGGUUAAAGAAGUUGGUUAGCAUUCGCGAAGCUGAUAACUGAAGCCCUGGUGAACGGCGGCCGUAACAAUAACGGUCCUAAGGUAGCGAAAUUCCUUGUCGGGUAAGUUCCGACCCGCACGAAAGGCGUAAUGAUUUGGAUACUGUCUCGGAGAGGGGCUCGGUGAAAUAGACUUGUCUGUGAAGAUGCGGACUACCUGCACCAGGACAGAAAGACCCUAUGAAGCUUUACUGUAACUUGAGAUUGAAAUUGGACUUUACUUGCGCAGUAUAGGUGGGAGGCGUUGAUAAUAUUCUUGCGGGAUUAUUUGAGCCAUCAGUGAGAUACCACUCUUGUAAUGUUAGAUUUCUAACUUUGUAUCAUUAUCUGGUCAAAGGACAGUUUCAGGCGGGCAGUUUGACUGGGGCGGUCGCCUCCUAAACGGUAACGGAGGCGCACAAAGGUUUCCUCUGAACGGGUAGAAAUCGUAUCUAGAGUGUAAAGGCAUAAGGAAGCUUGACUGUGAGACCUACAAGUCGAGCAGGGACGAAAGUCGGUCUUAGUGAUCUGACGGUGCUGAGUGGAAAGGCCGUCACUCAACGGAUAAAAGUUACUCUAGGAUAACAGGCUGAUCUCCCCCAAGAGUUCACAUCGACGGGGAGGUUUGGCACCUCGAUGUCGGCUCAUCGCAUCCUGGGGCGGUAGUACGUCCCAAGGGUUGGGCUGUUCGCCCAUGAAAGCGGUACGCGAGCUGGGUUCAGAACGUCGUGAGACAGUUCGGUCCAUAUCCGGUGUAGGCGUUAGAAUAUUGAGAGGAGCCUUCUUUAGUACGAGAGGACCGAGAAGGACAUACCUCUGGUGUACCAGUUAUCGUGCCAACGGUAAACGCUGGGUAGCUAUGUAUGGAGUGGAUAACCGCUGAAAGCAUCUAAGUGGGAAGCCCACCUCAAGAUAAGUAUUCUCGU
Molecule: ribosomal RNA, 1243 nt
Filed under: metagenome
Description: bacterial LSU rRNA
Rfam family: Bacterial large subunit ribosomal RNA
Source: RNAcentral